Long non-coding RNA from Ruditapes philippinarum (Manila clam), 289 nucleotides. RefSeq lists it as uncharacterized. The transcript has 3 exons. The record is from RefSeq and is a predicted model, not a curated record. Lineage: Eukaryota; Metazoa; Mollusca; Bivalvia; Venerida; Veneridae.
CUUCCGUUUACAGAAUUGUGUGUAGUUUAGAUAUAGAUCUAUAUUCAGUUAUUUUUUGCCAGUGAAGAAGUAUUUCCCUUGGUGUGUGUGUUUACAGACUUGUGUGUGAGGUUUUGAUUGUGGCGCAGUCAGUUGUUUGCCGAGAAGCCUUGAAAACUGUGUAUUGCCCCCUUACUCUCUAUAAAUAGGGACAUAUCAUGUUAUCAGAUGUUGGCCUAUGUACCAGCCCAAAGAAAUGAACAGAAUUCUACAAAGCUCUUUCUCGUGGCACAACUGAAGAAUAUUGUAA